Molecule: ribosomal RNA, 703 nt
Filed under: Metabacillus idriensis
Lineage: Bacteria; Bacillati; Bacillota; Bacilli; Caryophanales; Bacillaceae
Description: bacterial SSU rRNA
Rfam family: Bacterial small subunit ribosomal RNA
Source: RNAcentral
ACUUGAUGGAGCUUGCUCCAUUAAGUUAGCGGCGGACGGGUGAGUAACACGUGGGCAACCUGCCUGUAAGACUGGGAUAACUCCGGGAAACCGGAGCUAAUACCGGAUAGUAUCUUGAACCGCAUGGUUCAAGUUGGAAAGACGGUUUCGGCUGUCACUUACAGAUGGGCCCGCGGCGCAUUAGCUAGUUGGUGAGGUAAUGGCUCACCAAGGCAACGAUGCGUAGCCGACCUGAGAGGGUGAUCGGCCACACUGGGACUGAGACACGGCCCAGACUCCUACGGGAGGCAGCAGUAGGGAAUCUUCCGCAAUGGACGAAAGUCUGACGGAGCAACGCCGCGUGAGUGAUGAAGGUUUUCGGAUCGUAAAACUCUGUUGUUAGGGAAGAACAAGUGCGAGAGUAACUGCUCGCACCUUGACGGUACCUAACCAGAAAGCCACGGCUAACUACGUGCCAGCAGCCGCGGUAAUACGUAGGUGGCAAGCGUUGUCCGGAAUUAUUGGGCGUAAAGCGCGCGCAGGCGGUUUCUUAAGUCUGAUGUGAAAGCCCCCGGCUCAACCGGGGAGGGUCAUUGGAAACUGGGAAACUUGAGUGCAGAAGAGGAGAGUGGAAUUCCACGUGUAGCGGUGAAAUGCGUAGAGAUGUGGAGGAACACCAGUGGCGAAGGCGACUCUCUGGUCUGUAACUGACGCUGAGGCGCGA